This 804-nucleotide long non-coding RNA is filed under the name Apteryx rowi (Okarito brown kiwi). RNAcentral describes it as "lncRNA (ENSARWG00000009256.1)". Lineage: Eukaryota; Metazoa; Chordata; Aves; Apterygiformes; Apterygidae. The record is from RNAcentral.
UUAUUGCUCUGAUUGAAUCAGAAAAGGAGUGGUCUAACUUUGCAACUUCUUUUUCAAACUUCAGAUCGUCCAAAUGAAAUAAAAACAAAUGGAUUUCAGAGUCAAGCAGAAAAAACACAUAAUAAAAGCAAAAGCAAUCAGGAUUUCAUUAAAAAGAACAUUGAGCUGUCAAAGGAUUCAGGAAACCAGGUUGCUUUGCUUGAGGAAGAAAAGAAAAGGUUGAUUGAGCUACUGAAAGAUACAGAAGAUGGAAGUGAAUUACAGGGUCUUGAGGAAGAUACAUCUGGCUGGCUAGUACCAGGAGAAGGGUACACACCUGAACCAAUGGAAUUUCAUCACCUAAAUGAAAUAGAUAUUAAGCUUCAGGUGCUAUCUGAUGGGGAUUUUUCUGCAAUUCACAGCUCUUGCUCAAAACCUCCAAGCCAGAUUUAUCAGGAAUCUCUGGCUUACGCAAACAGAAGACUGGAAGCAGUUCCAGGUGAGAAGGUUCUGCGAUACAAUAAGGAGCACCGUGAUCAGCAAAACCGUCUGAAAGAAAUAGACCAUCAGCUGAAAUCCCUGGAGGGAAAUCUUGUCACUCCACUACACCUCACCUCAUGUAUGCUGUGCAACAUGGUUUCAGCUGGGCCUGUGCACAAAACAAGGCUGGAAGACAGAGACUUUAAUGUACUUUACAAUAUUAACAUAAAAAUCAGAAAAUCUGCUUAAGUAUUAUGUUUGAAGUAACGAAACUGAGGCCUUUGCAACUUGAGGUCUUCCUUUACUUUUAUUAAAAAAAGUCCUCAGUGAAUUAAUAUACCAAAG